AAAAAAAAAAAUUUAUAUUUUUGUUAGGGGGAAUUUUUCCCCCAAAAAGGGGAAAAAAGUAUACUUUUCAGGUGGUAUACUUUUCGGCAGCAGAUUUGAUAGAUUGAGGGCCCUGCUGUCUGAUGUAUUCACAUUAGAAGAAUUGGCUAUGUGUAGGGGAUUGGGAAUAGGUAGAGCUAGACCAGGGGAUGAAGAAAAGCCAGUGUUGGAUCAGGAGAAAAUUAAAAUACGAAAGAACAUGUGAAUUCCUGUUGCAAGAAAAAUAUUGGGCAAAACUUUCCAGUUUCUGAAUGACGCAGCUACCAUUUGAAACAUUUGAGACUACAGGAGGAAACAACACGGUUUGGCGGACACCUCUUUUCUGGAGAGUAGCCGGUAAAAAAAAGGCGCUGUGAGGACGGCAUCCGUACGAUCUGUCGUGGAACAGUCCGCAGUCAGUGAGCAUUGGACAUCAUAGUUUGCAGUAGAGCAGGAACAUAGAUGUUGUUUGUUCGCAAGUCGGGAUGGACUUUCCAUGAAGCUGGAAGUCUGAACCGGUCUACAUAGCUGGCCCUAUUCACUCGUGGACGCAACGGCUUAACUGGUGUUUCAGAACCGUCUACGUCACGAAAAAUUUGAGACUACAGGAGGAAACAACACGGUUUGGCGGACACCUCUUUUCUGGAGAGUAGCCGGUAAAAAAAAGAUCCCAGUUUCCGGGUGGAUGCAGAAAACAGGCAUCACCCAACGGGAGAUUUCCGGGUGAGUGAGGCAGAGGCCACCACCAACGACAGUUGGGCAGACAGCUGCCAAUUCUGAGAGAAGGCGGUAUCAGCAACAAGGGCCAACCGGGACGCACCACAACGAGGAUUGUUCUGGCAAGUGUUGGACAUCGCCAGAGGACCGAGGGUCGGGCGAGGGUAAUCUGUGCCGCAGUAAGCAAGAUACGUUGGACGCCGCCAGAGGACCCAAGGUCAGGCGAGAGCAAUCCGUGUCGCGAUGGGGUGGACACAUAGGGCGCCACCAAAGGGUCGAGGACCUAGUGGGAGAGUGGUAUUAUCUGUUGACAGCUGUGACAUUUUUAGUCAGCCAGUGACUUUAUGAUUGUUAUUUUUAUUUAAAAAAAUAUUGGUACAAUAUUAUCUGAUAGCGAUAAGGAUAAACUAACAUGCAUGCUGU
Dreissena polymorpha is the source of this 1158-nucleotide long non-coding RNA. RefSeq lists it as uncharacterized. NCBI's taxonomy places the organism in Eukaryota, Metazoa, Mollusca, Bivalvia, Myida, Dreissenidae. The transcript has 7 exons. The record is from RefSeq and is a predicted model, not a curated record.